GCGAGCUCCUGGGCAGCAGUCGCGGUAAGACGGAGGGUGCGAACGGUGGUGUGAAUCAGUGGGCGUAAAGCGCACGGAGGCGGCGCGUUAAGUCGGAUGUUAAAGCCCCGGGCUCAACUCGGGAAGUGCAUGCGAAACUGUCGAGCUUGAAUAUGGAAGAGGGUCGCGGAAGUCCCGGUGUAGAGGUGAAAUUCGUAGAUAUCGGGAGGAACACCAGUGGCGAAGGCGGCGACCUGGGCCAAUAUUGACGCUGAGGUGCGAAAGCGUGGGGAGCAAACAGGAUUAGAUACCCUAGUAGUC
RNAcentral lists this ribosomal RNA (300 nucleotides) under uncultured Pyrobaculum sp. Its description in RNAcentral is "bacterial SSU rRNA". It matches the Rfam family "Bacterial small subunit ribosomal RNA", at positions 496 to 795 of the family's 1533-position model. The record is from RNAcentral. Lineage: Archaea; Thermoproteati; Thermoproteota; Thermoprotei; Thermoproteales; Thermoproteaceae.